This 248-nucleotide ribosomal RNA is filed under the name uncultured bacterium. RNAcentral describes it as "partial 16S ribosomal RNA". It matches the Rfam family "Bacterial small subunit ribosomal RNA", at positions 85 to 334 of the family's 1533-position model. The record is from RNAcentral.
UACGUGGCGACCGGCGCACGGGUGAGUAACGCGUAUGCAACCUGCCCGAUACCGGGGUAUAGCCCAUGGAAACGUGGAUUAACACCCCAUAGUACUUUUAUCCUGCCUGGGAUGGGAGUUAAAUGUUCAAGGUAUCGGAUGGGCAUGCGUCCUAUUAGUUAGUUGGCGGGGUAACAGCCCACCAAGACGAUGAUAGGUAGGGGUUCUGAGAGGAAGGUCCCCCACAUUGGAACUGAGACACGGUCCAA